Molecule: ribosomal RNA, 253 nt
Filed under: uncultured bacterium
Lineage: Bacteria
Description: partial 16S ribosomal RNA
Rfam family: Bacterial small subunit ribosomal RNA
Source: RNAcentral
GACGAAGGUGGCAAGCGUUACUCGGAAUUACUAGGCGUAAAGCGUGGGUAGGUGGUUCGGUAAGUCUGUUGUGAAAGCUCCUGGCUUAACUGGGAGAGGCCAAUGGAAACUGCCGAGCUUGAAUCGUGGAGAGGUCACUGGAAUUCCUGGUGUAGCGGUGAAAUGCGUAGAGAUCAGGAGGAACACCGAUGGCGAAAGCAGGUGACUGGACACGUAUUGACACUCAGCCACGAAAGCUAGGGGAGCAAACAGG